Molecule: transfer RNA, 88 nt
Filed under: uncultured Alphaproteobacteria bacterium
Lineage: Bacteria; Pseudomonadati; Pseudomonadota; Alphaproteobacteria
Description: tRNA-Thr
Rfam family: tRNA
About the family: Transfer RNA (tRNA) molecules are approximately 80 nucleotides in length. Their secondary structure includes four short double-helical elements and three loops (D, anti-codon, and T loops).
Source: RNAcentral
GCCGGGGUGGCGGAGUGGUUGAACGCACCGGAUUUGUAAUCCGGCAGGCUUGUCCUCGUCGCAGGUUCGAAUCCUGUCUCCGGCUCCA